RNAcentral lists this ribosomal RNA (154 nucleotides) under Erysiphe viciae-unijugae. Its description in RNAcentral is "5.8S ribosomal RNA". It matches the Rfam family "5.8S ribosomal RNA". Rfam says of the family: 5.8S ribosomal RNA (5.8S rRNA) is a component of the large subunit of the eukaryotic ribosome. It is transcribed by RNA polymerase I as part of the 45S precursor that also contains 18S and 28S rRNA. Lineage: Eukaryota; Fungi; Ascomycota; Leotiomycetes; Helotiales; Erysiphaceae. The record is from RNAcentral.
AAACUUUCAACAACGGAUCUCUUGGCUCUGGCAUCGAUGAAGAACGCAGCGAAAUGCGAUAAGUAAUGUGAAUUGCAGAAUUUAGUGAAUCAUCGUAUCUUUGAACGCACAUUGCGCCCCUUGGUAUUCCGAGGGGCAUGCCUGUUCGAGCGUC